CAGUCGCCACGGUAAUACGUAGGUCCCGAGCGUUGUCCGGAUUUAUUGGGCGUAAAGCGAGCGCAGGCGGUUUGAUAAGUCUGAAGUUAAAGGCUGUGGCUCAACCAUAGUUCGCUUUGGAAACUGUCAAACUUGAGUGCAGAAGGGAAGAGUGGAAUUCCAUGUGUAGCGGUGAAAUGCGUAGAUAUAUGGAGGAACACCGGUGGCGAAAGCGGCCCUCUAGCUUGUAACUGACGCUGAGGCUCGAAAGCGUGGGGAGCAAACAGGAUUAGAUACCCCCGUAGUCCCUGUCUCUUAUACA
Molecule: ribosomal RNA, 301 nt
Filed under: uncultured bacterium
Lineage: Bacteria
Description: partial 16S ribosomal RNA
Rfam family: Bacterial small subunit ribosomal RNA
Source: RNAcentral